This is a non-coding RNA of Populus trichocarpa (black cottonwood), 107 nucleotides long. Lineage: Eukaryota; Viridiplantae; Streptophyta; Magnoliopsida; Malpighiales; Salicaceae. The record is from Rfam.
GGGAUAUGAUGAGUGGUCAAUGCUCGCAUAUAAACAUGCGAGAUGGGUGUCCAGCCCACUCCCUGGUUACGACAACAGGGCACUCCCAUCUUCACCUAUCUGAUCCC